UAGGGAAUCUUCGGCAAUGGACGAAAGUCUGACCGAGCAACGCCGCGUGAGUGAAGAAGGUUUUCGGAUCGUAAAACUCUGUUGUUAGAGAAGAACAAGGACGUUAGUAACUGAACGUCCCCUGACGGUAUCUAACCAAAAAGCCACGGCUAACUACGUGCCAGCAGCCGCGGUAAUACGUAGGUGGCAAGCGUUGUCCGGAUUUAUUGGGCGUAAAGCGAGCGCAGGCGGUUUCUUAAGUCUGAUGUGAAAGCCCCCGGCUCAACCGGGGAGGGUCAUUGGAAACUGGGAGAGUUGAGUGCAGAAGAGGAGAGUGGAAUUCCAUGUGUAGCGGUGAGAUGCGUAGAUAUAUGGAGGAACACCAGUGGCGAGGGCGGCUCUCUGGUCUGUAACUGACGCUGAGGCUCGAAAGCGUGGGGAGCAAACAGG
RNAcentral lists this ribosomal RNA (429 nucleotides) under Gemmatimonadota bacterium. Its description in RNAcentral is "Gemmatimonadetes bacterium partial 16S ribosomal RNA". It matches the Rfam family "Bacterial small subunit ribosomal RNA", at positions 355 to 776 of the family's 1533-position model. Lineage: Bacteria; Pseudomonadati; Gemmatimonadota. The record is from RNAcentral.